Molecule: ribosomal RNA, 615 nt
Filed under: Streptococcus pneumoniae
Lineage: Bacteria; Bacillati; Bacillota; Bacilli; Lactobacillales; Streptococcaceae
Description: partial 23S ribosomal RNA
Rfam family: Bacterial large subunit ribosomal RNA
Source: RNAcentral
GGUUAAGUUAAUAAGGGCGCACGGUGGAUGCCUUGGCACUAGGAGCCGAAGAAGGACGGCACUAACACCGAUAUGCCUCGGGGAGCUGUAAGUGAGCUGUGAUCCGGGGAUUUCCGAAUGGGGAAACCCACUGUUCGUAAUGGAGCAGUAUCCAUGUGUGAAUACAUAGCACAUGAGAAGGCAGACUCAGGGAACUGAAACAUCUAAGUACCUGAAGGAAGAGAAAGCAAAUGCGAUUCCCCAAGUAGCGGCGAGCGAAACGGGAUCAGCCCAAACCAGAAGGCUUGCCUUCUGGGGUUGUAGGACACUCUAUACGGAGUUACAAAGGAACGGAUUAAGCGAAGCGACCUGGAACGGUCCGCAAGAUAGGGUAAUAGCCCCGUAGCUGAAAGUUCGUUCCCUCCAGAGUGGAUCCUGAGUACGGCGGAACACGAGAAAUUCCGUCGGAAUCCGGGAGGACCAUCUCCCAAGGCUAAAUACUCCCUAGUGACCGAUAGUGAACCAGUACCGUGAGGGAAAGGUGAAAAGCACCCCGGAAGGGGAGUGAAAUAGAUCCUGAAACCGUGUGCCUACAAGUAGUUAGAGCCCGUUAAUGGGUGAUAGCGUGCCUUUUGU